RNAcentral lists this long non-coding RNA (1964 nucleotides) under Sorghum bicolor (sorghum). Its description in RNAcentral is "long non-coding RNA (SBIC_LNC007590)". Lineage: Eukaryota; Viridiplantae; Streptophyta; Magnoliopsida; Poales; Poaceae. The record is from RNAcentral.
UAUUACACAUACAUGAUAGCCGGAGCUUGCAUUCACAUAUAUGUUCCUCACCCAACGCUAGUUGCAGUAGUUUUUUCUAGCAGGUAUAUGUAGGGGGAGAGAUCGAUCGAGAUGGAUGAUGCCAACAAUGGAUACAUCAGCAGCAUAUAUAGAAGCAAAGGAACCAACAGCAGCAAAAGGUGAAAAAAAGAAGAAGAAAGAAACCAAGGUGUGUGUGUGACCCCAAGGAUGCAAAACCGAACGAACAGGUUGAGAGGCAGCAGCAGGCAGCCAUAUGCCAUUAGCUCACGCAGGAGCUAGCUAGCAGUUUAAUCACUCGCUGCCCGCGGGCUUGUAGGCGAUGAAGCUGACGCACUGCGUCUGCUUGAUGUUGUCGAAGCCGAGGAUCCGGACGUAGGCGUCCGGGUAGGAGGCGAUGGCCUCCUGCAGCUCCUUGUAGACCUGCGACGCGUCGGUGCAGCCGAACAUGGGCAGCUUCCACAUGGUCCAGUAGCGGCCGUCGUAGUAGCACGGGGAGGUGGAGUUCUCGCGGUACACGAAGCCUUCCUUGCUGAACUCGAGGCAGGGCACCCAGUUGUUGCGCAGCAGGUAGUCCACCUGCUUCAGCAGCUGCUCCUCCGUCAGCGGCGGCAGGUACGACAGCGUCUCGAACUUCUUGUUCCCGUACGCCGGCCACACCUGCAAAUUAAUGCAUGCAUCGAUCGAUGUACGUGUUUGUGGUUGCAUUUCGCUAGCUCUGCUGCAAAGAAUGAAUGAAGAUGGCCGGCCGGAGCCAAGAACGAAAGGCCAACUAGCUCUUGUGUUAAUUAUGUUGUUAUUACCUGCAUGCACCGGAUCCUGCCGCCGUUGCUGACUUUGGCGAGGCUGGUGGUGGAGCGGCGGGCGACGGGGAGGGUGGCGGUGGACUUGAGACCCUGGAACGGAGCGACGGCGGUGGCGGACGAGGCCAUCACGGUGGGCGCCAUUGCUGCUGCUAUGUAGUACUAGUAGCUAGUGAGGGAGCGAGCUGAGAGUGAGCUGCUUGCUGUUUUUGCUGCUUCUUGCUGCUUGGGUCGUCCUGUAGGCUCCCCCACCGAGGGCAUAUAUAGAAGAGGCAGCGAGCGUGCGUCCAUGGCGACGGAUGGCUGUCGUUGGGGCAAGGACGGAUCGGACGAAUGAAGCGGAUGUGGGAGGAGUGGCCACCGUUGUCCCAUGGCGGGCAACCCGGCCAGCCUGGCCUAUCCUGAUCGCGUCCGCCGCCACAUGUCGCGUCCCCGUGGCGCGCCUUAUCGUCUCAGCCAGCCAACAUGUCCAUGGAGCCACGCCACGCCACGCCAUGGUUGGACUAUAUGUGAUGUGCCACCACUUUAAUUAUUUGUAGAUAGAUAGAUAGAUAGAUAAGCUAGCCGCAGGUAGUAGUGCAGUGGUGAAAGUCACUACUACUGACUGCAAACCAAAAUUUCCCUGGCCGUGCCCGGACUCGCUCGCUGUCUCCGAUUAAACCUAGGUAUAUGUUGAGCAGGACGUCCCCUGGCCGUCGCCAUGGCCGGACUCGCUCGAUCUCUAGGAUCCGAGGUGGUCCUGCUCUGCUCCGUCGUCGGCGAAGAUGAAGACACACCCACUCGUCGUCCCCUUCCUCAUGCAAAUCUGCGCCGCACAAGCUGUUUCCAAAAUUUCGCUGGCCGUGGCCGGACUCGCUCGCUAUCUAUCUCCGGUCUCCCGUCGCCGAUCAAACCGAUCGAGCAGGACGUCGCCGCCGUGGCCGGACUCGCCCUCUAGCUCGUCGUCCACGAUCGAGCCAGGAUCCGGCCGAGGUGGUCGUGGUCCUGCUGCUCGGUCGGUGAAUGACUGACUCGUCCCCUUCCUCCUGCUGCAAAUCUCCGCCGGACGCAUGCAUCCGCCGUCUCUCUCAAGCAGAAGCAGUUCCAUUCAGCUCGAUCGUCGUGGUUUGUGAAAGGAUAAGUGAAGAACGACGACAAUGGAAG